Molecule: long non-coding RNA, 5023 nt
Organism: Oncorhynchus keta (chum salmon)
Lineage: Eukaryota; Metazoa; Chordata; Actinopteri; Salmoniformes; Salmonidae
Exons: 3
Source: RefSeq, a predicted model, not a curated record
GAGGUGGCAGUGUUGGGUUUCUCCUGACCUGCACUAUGUGCCUGUGCUUCGUCGGCAGACCAUCCCAACACCUCUCUCAAGUCAAUGGUUUUCAGCAGGAGUAAGCAGCAGGAUCUGCUGAAUCAGCAGCAUUGUUUCCUGCCAGCACCAGCCUCUCUACUGCUCGCCCCUGGCAGGUCGGCCCCUGACACGCUCACAACAGCUUCAGGGCUCAGGUCCAAACUGUCAAUGACAUUCCCUUACCUGGGCAUGUGGACUGAACUAGCACUACAUCGGAAAGAACUGGAUAGGUGCAAGGAAAAUGGUGGAAACUUUCCAUCUAGUCCUCUCGAAUCUAUUGACUGGAGGUGAUCCUGUUUCAUUGAUCAUCCUUGAGAUGCUUCUACAACUUGAUUGGAGUCCACUUGUGGUAAAUUCAAUUGAUUGGACAUGAUUUGGAAAGGUACACAACCUGUCUACAGAAGGUCCCACAGUUGACAGUGCACGUCAGAUCAAAAACCAAGUCAUGACCAAGGACCCGAUGGUCACUCGGACAGAGCUCCAGAGUUCUUCUGUGGAGAUGGGAGAAACUUCCAGAAGGACAACCAACUCUGCAGCACUCCACCAAAUCAGGCCUUUUAUGGUAGAGUGGCCAGAUGGAAGCUGCCACUCAGUAAAAAAAGGCACGACAGCCUGCUUGGAGUUUGCCAAAAGGCACCUAAAAAUUCAAAGCAAGAUUGAACUCUUUGGCUUCAAUGCCAAGCAUCACGUUUGAAGGAAACCUGGCACCAUCCCUACGGUGAAGCAUGGUGGUGUGGGGACUGAGAGACUAGUCAGGAUCAGGGGAAAGAUGAACGGAGCAAAGUAGAGAGAGAACCUUGAUGAAAACCUGCUCCAGAGUGCUCAGGACCUCAGACUGGGGCCAGGGUUCACCUUCCAACAGGACAAUGACCCUAAGCACACAGCCAAGAGAAUGCACAAGUGGCUUCGGGACAAGUCUCUGAAUGUCCUUGAGUGGACCAGCCAGAGCCCGGAAUUUAACCCGAUUGAUCAUCUCUGGAGAGACCUGAAAAUAGCUGUGCAGCAGCGCUCCCCAUCCAACCUGACAGAGCUUGAGAGGCUCUGGAGAGAAGAAUGGGAGAAACUCUCAGGUGCGCCAAGCUUGUAGCGUCAUACCCAAGAAGACUUAUUUACUUUGAAGAACUAAUAGUGAUUGUCAGACAGCAUAAGCAGAAUCUACAUAGAGAUAGAUGUCUUGGAAUUAAAUAAUGAAAUCAUCAAAAACAAAUUAAGUAAUAUACCCAACUGAAAUAUUUUAUUAAAGUAAUGUGAAUAAUUGAUGGUUAAUAAGUAGUAAAUGGGUAGUCACUACCAUCAUGGGACUUUUAUUAAUUGUUUUAUUCUGUGUUACAUCAUUCAACCCACAUAAUGCAUAGCGCAUUGAAUGUUUUAAAAAAUUAACAUUUUUUUUAGUCAUCUAAACCAAACCGUCCUCAAAAAGCACUAGAGUUGCUAAGUACUACCAUAUUGCUUGAAACUGUACUGUCCUUUCAGAAUCCCCAAGGUGGAAGCCAAAGGCACAGAAGAGAGGGUGAGUUUUCAGAUUGGAGUCUGGAACUGAAAGUAGCUAGCUAGCUAACGGAAAUACACUCUCAAUAGAGAGGUGUUCACUGCUCUAGAAAAAGCAUGGCUGAUGGACAGAAAAUGAGUGAGUGAAACACUAAUUCUGAGCAGUAAGUUAAUAGUAUCCUAAAUGACCUGGCUGGUGGAUCUGAAUGGAGGUCACAGUAGUGCGGACUGAGGAGAGCAGAGUAUGACAGUUAAUGGGCCGAGGAGGAGGAGGAGGAGGAGAAAACCUGGAGGCAGUCAGAGGAACAACUGCCCUCUGAGAUGACCUGAACUGAAGCAGGUUAAAGAAUAGCCUAAGGAUUUAGGCCUCUAGCCAUGGUACCAUGACUCCUGACUCCUGACUGGUUACAAGAUGUUGGCGGAAGAAGUUCUGGCUAACUCAUUAAUCCAGACUUGUGAGACUCCCCUACGAGAGUCUGCACUAACUAACUUUGAAACGUUGAUGAAAACCAGAAUACUCUGGAUGACUGCAGUUAUUCAACCAAAGGCUAUGGCUAGGCUAUAUAAUCUAGCUAGGCUAUCAGUAAAUUAUGUAUGAUAGGCCUACAGUGCAAAAAAGUAAGAGGGUACAUAUUGCACAAGCUGCAUGCAAUGUCCUUAGCGGGGGUCACUAUGUAGAAGCAUGACUGCUUUGAAAUUUGCAACAAUGCAAAAAGGUCAACUCAAGGAAAGUCUCAAAAAGCAAGCCCUGUAGGAUUCUGUUUAGCAGAAAAACAGGCCCAAUCACAAAAUCAGCCUUUUGGUAGAAAUGAUAUGCAGGUACCACGAUAAUAUCACGGUGCCAGAACAUCAUGCCAAUUAUCAUACCAACAUUUUAGAAUACUGUAGUAUCGUUUCAUAUAAUACUAUUGACUUUUUUUGCCCUAUAGAUCUAAAGAACCUGCUGGCGCCAGUCACUUUAGUUUAUAAAUUCAGGUGAAUUUAAGCAACAGACACUAGUCUCUUGUAUGCGCAGGUUCAAUAAUAUCCACUUCACUUUCAUGCGCAUAUCAUGUGUUGCAGAUUACAGCAAUUGGGGUUAAGUGCCUUGCUCAAAGGCACAUUGACAGAUUUUUCAUCUAGUCAGCUCAGGUAUUCGAACCAGCGACCUUUCGGUUACUGGCCCAGUGCUCUUAACCACUAAGCUACCUGCCCCCCCUCUACCUGCCCUCAAUCAAAUGCUUCUCUCUGUCCGCUCUUCACGUCUAUUCCUUCAUCGGUUUUCUUAAUAAAUCGUUUAGCUGUGAUGGCGAGCGGCAUGCUGACCCUCAUGAGUCUACUGUUGUUAGAUUUGUACAUUUCUUACAUUGGAGCAGCGCACAAAGAAAGCAAUGUUGAUACAUUGUAUAAUUCCAUCAAACACAGACCAGUCUGAGUAGAAUUUGCAAGUUCACUGUCAUGCAGCCUAAGAACGUCAGAGGGAGAAAACGGAAAGAAAAAGUAUUUUCCCUAGCCUAAACAGUUAAACAAUAACCCAUAUUACCGGAGGUCGUGUCUCUAGCCUAAACGGUUAAACAAUAACCCAUAUUACCGGAGGUCUUGUCUCUAGCCUAAACGGUUAAACAAUAACCCAUAUUACCGGAGGUCGUGUCUCUAGCCUAAACAGUUAAACAAUAACCCAUAUUACCGGAGGUCGUGUCUCUAGCCUAAACGGUUAAACAAUAACCCAUAUUACCGGAGGUCUUGUCUCUAGCCUAAACGGUUAAACAAUAACCCAUAUUACCGGAGGUCGUGUCUCUAGCCUAAACAGUUAAACAAUAACCCAUAUUACCGGAGGUCGUGUCUCUAGCCUAAACGGUUAAACAAUAACCCAUAUUACCGGAGGUCUUGUCUCUAGCCUAAACGGUUAAAAAAUGACCCAUAUUACCGGAGGUCGUGUCUCUAGCCUAAACGGUUAAAAAAUGACCCAUAUUACCGGAGGUUGUGUUUCUAGCCUAAACGGUUAAACAAUAACCCAUAUUACCGGAGGUCGUGUCUCUAGCCUAAACAGUUAAACAAUAACCCAUAUUACCGGAGGUCGUGUCUCUAGCCUAAACAGUUAAACAAUAACCCAUAUUACCGGAGGUCUUGUCCCUAGCCUAAACGGUUAAACAAUAACCCAUAUUACCGGAGGUCGUGUCUCUAGCCUAAACGGUUAAAAAAUUACCCAUAUUACCGGAGGUCUUGUUUCUAGCCUAAACUAGAGGUCGACCGAUUAAUCGGAAUGGCCGAUUAAUUAGGGCCGAUUUCAAGUUUUCAUAACAAUCGGAAAUCGCUAUUUUUGGACGGCGAUUUUUUAAAAAUAUAUAUUUUUUACACACCUUUAUUUAAUCUUUAUUUAAAAAUAGGGAAGUCAGUUAAGAACACAUUCUUAUUUUCAAUGACGGCCUAGGAACGGUGGGUUAACUGCCAUGUUCAGGGGCAGAAUGACAGAUUUUCACCUUGUCAGCUCGGGGGAAUCAAUCUUGCAACCUUACAGUUAACUAGUCCAAUGCUCUAACCACGUGCCUCUCAUUGCACUCCACGAGGAGACUGCCUGUUACGCGAAUGCAGCAAACAAAGUAAGUUGCUAGCUAGCAUUAAACUUAUCUUAUAAAAAAAAAACCAAUCAAUCAUAAUCACUAGUAAUAUCAUCAACCAUGUGUAGUUAUCUAGCGUGUCCUGCGUUGCAUAUAAUCGAUGCAGUGCGUAUCGUUGCUCCAAUGUAUACUUAACCAUGAACAUCAAUGCCUUUCUUAAAAUCAACACACAGAAGUAUAUAUUUUUAAACCUGCAUAUUUAGCUAAAAGAAAUCCAGGUUAGCAGGAAAUAUUAACCAGGUGAAAUUGUGUCACUUCUCUUGCGUUCAUUGCACGCAGAAUCAGUGUAUAUGCAACAGUUUGGGCCGCCUAAUUUGCCAGAAUUUUACGUAAUUAUGACAUAACAUUGAAGGUUGUGCAAUGUAACAGGAAUAUUUAGACUAAUGGAUGCCACCCCUUAGACAAAAUACGGAACGGUUCCAUAUUUCACUGAAAGAAUAAAUAGUUUUCGAGAUGAUAGUUUCCGGAUUCCACCAUUAUAAUGACCUAAGGCUCGUAUUUCUGUGUGUUAUUAUGUUAUAACUAAGUCUAUGAUUUGAUAGAGCAGUCUGAGCGGUGGUAGGCAGCAGCAGGCUCGUAAGCAUUCAUUCAAACAGCACUUUCGUGCGUUUUGCCAGCAGCUCUUCGCUGUGUAUCAAGCAUUGCGCUGUUUAUGACUUCAUGCCUAUCAACUCCCGAGAUUAGGCUGGUGUAACUGAUGUGAAAUGGCUAGCUAGUUAGCGGGGUGCGCGCUAAUAACAUUUCAAACAUCACUCACUCUGAGACUUGGAGUGGUUGUUCCACUUGCUCUGCAUGGGUAAUGCUGCUUCGAGGGUGGCUGUUGUCGUUGUGUUCCUGGUUCGAGCCCAGGUAGGAGCGAGGAGAGGGACGGAAGCUAU